Dermacentor silvarum is the source of this 2204-nucleotide long non-coding RNA. RefSeq lists it as uncharacterized. The record is from RefSeq and is a predicted model, not a curated record. The transcript is spliced from 8 exons. Lineage: Eukaryota; Metazoa; Arthropoda; Arachnida; Ixodida; Ixodidae.
ACGAGCGAAUGAUCUGCCGUCUAGACGCAACUCAGGCGCUCAUCGCCAACUUAUCGGACCAAAAGUUCUCGGGAGAAGGCCAAAGAGCUGUCAGUGGAGCUCUCAGUUCCCAGCCCUGCGGAAAAAGACAACAAAAGACAUUUGUGAAAUGGUCGCCACAUAGGUCAAGAAGUUAACGGAACUCUGGGUAGAAAUAGGGAUAAGCCACGAGCGAAUGAUCAGCCGUCUAGACGCAACUCAGGCGCUCAUCGCCAACUUAUCGGACCAAAAGUUCUCGGGAGAAGGCCAAAGAGCUGUCAGUGGAGCUCAGUUCCCAGCCCUGCGGAAAAAGACAACAAAAGACAUUUGUGAAAUGGUCGCCACAUAGGUCAAGAAGUUAACGGAACUCUGGGUAGAAAUAGGGAUAAGCCACGAGCGAAUGAUCAGCCGUCUAGACGCAACUCAGGCGCUCAUCGCCAACUUAUCGGACCAAAAGUUCUCGGGAGAAGGCCAAAGAGCUUUCAGUGGAGCUCUCAGUUCCCAGCCCUGCGGAAAAAGACAACAAAAGACAUUUGUGAAAUGGUCGCCACAUAGGUCAAGAAGUUAACGGAACUCUGGGUAGAAAUAGGGAUAAGCCACGAGUGAAUGAUCAGCCGUCUAGACGCAACUCAGGCGCUCAUUGCCAACUUAUCGGACCAAAAGUUCUCGGGAGAAGGCCAAAGAGCUGUCAGUGGAGCUCUCAGUUCCCAGCCCUGCGGAAAAAGACAACAAAAGACAUUUGUGAAAUGGUCGCCACAUAGGUCAUUCAGUUAACGGAACUCUGGGUAGAAAUAGGGAUAAGCCACGAGUGAAGAAUGAUCAGCCAUCUAGACGCAACUCAGGCGCUCAUCGCCAACUUAUCGGACCAAAAGUUCUCGGGAGAAGGCCAAAGAGCUGUCAGUGGAGCUCUCAGUUCCCAGCCCUGCGGAAAAAGAGAACAAAAGACAUUUGUGAAAUGGUCGCCACAUCGGUCAAGAAGUUGACGGAACUCUGGGUAGAAAUAGGGAUAAGCCACGAGCGAAUGAUCAGCCGUCUAGAUGCAACUCAGGAGCUCAUCGCCAACUUAUCGGACCAAAUGUUCUUGGGAGAAGGCCAAAGAGCUGUCAGUGGAGCUCUCAAUUCCCAGCCCUGCGUGUGCACCUGCCAGCUGCCAUGUCCAUGCAAAAUGACAACACCGCACUGGGAUAUAGGCACACCUCAACAAUGCCAUGAGCAAAGAGCCGUUACACUGUGGCAUCCAUUGUGCUCCACAAUGUGGCAAAGAGGCGGAAUACUGUGGCAUCCAUUGUGCUCCGCAAUGUAGCAAAGAGGCGGAAUACUGUGGCAUCCAUUGAGCUCCGCAAUGUAGCAAAGCGCCGGAAUACUGUGGCAUCCAUGCGGUUCAUCGAGGAAAACAGGCACUUUGACCUGAUAAAGUCUGGGUUCAAGUACGUGACAUGGUCAUAUUAGACGCAGUGAGAAGCCCACCAGACCACACAGCCACAUAUCAGGCCACUCGUAUAGAACUGUCAAGGAAAAUGGCCCACACCAACAACCCUGCACCGAAGCAGGCAUCGUGCCAACCAGAUAGUGGUGGCAUGAACAGUGGAUAUCCUGGCACAAUCCAAGCUGUGAAUCCAAACCAUGCAUUCAGAUUAUUCGGUCAGAGCAAUAAAGAUCGUUCCGACUUUUCUAUUGAUAACGUUGACAAAUCCCUGCUUCAGCCAGAAAAGGGCUAGCGUCGGGGACAAGGUCCACUUUGAUGCCCUGCCAAAUCCAAAGCCGACCUACUACGCACAGAAGUGGUGGGCCACCAAUGUCAAAAAAGUGCAGUGUGCUCAACUUGCCUAGGCCAAUGACAGCGGAGACAAGGCUUUUCUUUCCGACAACGAUAUCGCCAAGAUCCUACUUGACCCAAAGGAGUUGUCUGUGUGGAGGAAGCUAUCUGGCAUCAAAGGCACAUUCUUCCCAACCUCUGAAUACAGGUCUCCUAUCCAGCUAUGAGCAGAACGUCAUGGUUCAAGUCAUACUGCAAUGGAAAAAAGGCCCGAUGGUUCGGUGAGCUGUGAGAGAACUGCACUCUCCAAGACACAGUGGACAACUUUGUAGAUGCAAUCGAAGCAUAACGCGACAUGUAGGUAGCGAUGCUCGUGGACAGGUGAAUGGCCUCAGCACUGCCUCAUGGAGCAGAGCGAAAGCGCGUUUUA